RNAcentral lists this ribosomal RNA (230 nucleotides) under uncultured Actinomycetales bacterium. Its description in RNAcentral is "partial 16S ribosomal RNA". It matches the Rfam family "Bacterial small subunit ribosomal RNA", at positions 573 to 802 of the family's 1533-position model. Lineage: Bacteria; Bacillati; Actinomycetota; Actinomycetes; Actinomycetales. The record is from RNAcentral.
AGGUGGUUUGUCACGUCGUCUGUGAAAUUCCACAGCUUAACUGUGGGCGUGCAGGCGAUACGGGCUGACUUGAGUACUGUAGGGGUAACUGGAAUUCCUGGUGUGGCGGUGAAAUGCGCAGAUAUCAGGAGGAACACCGAUGGCGAAGGCAGGUUACUGGGCAGUUACUGACGCUGAGGAGCGAAAGCAUGGGUAGCAAACAGGAUUAGAUACCCUGGUAGUCAAGGGCG